GACGAACGCUGGCGGCGCGCCUAACACAUGCAAGUCGAACGAGCGAGAGAGAGCUUGCUUUCUCGAGCGAGUGGCGAACGGGUGAGUAACGCGUGAGGAACCUGCCUCAAAGAGGGGGACAACAGUUGGAAACGACUGCUAAUACCGCAUAAGCCCACAGGUCGGCAUCGACCAGAGGGAAAAGGAGCAAUCCGCUUUGAGAUGGCCUCGCGUCCGAUUAGCUAGUUGGUGAGGUAAUGGCCCACCAAGGCAACGAUCGGUAGCCGGACUGAGAGGUUGAACGGCCACAUUGGGACUGAGACACGGCCCAGACUCCUACGGGAGGCAGCAGUGGGGAAUAUUGCACAAUGGGGGAAACCCUGAUGCAGCGACGCCGCGCGGAGGAAGAAGGUCUUCGGAUUGUAAACUCCUGU
This 413-nucleotide ribosomal RNA is filed under the name uncultured bacterium. Its description in RNAcentral is "bacterial SSU rRNA". It matches the Rfam family "Bacterial small subunit ribosomal RNA", at positions 28 to 436 of the family's 1533-position model. The record is from RNAcentral.